CCCGGGGGAUGCUCCUCCAAAGCUUUUAUCGGGCGAGCGCAGUGGCUCACGCCUGUAAUUCCUGCACUUUGGGAGGCUAAGGGUCUCACUCUAUUGUCUAGGCUCGAAUGCAGUGACGUGAUCAUGGAUCACUGCAGUCCUCAACUUACUGGGCUCAGGAUGAAAGGCUUCCUAGCACAAACACCACCCCUGGAGUUCCCGGUACAUCAAUACCAGCCUGGGGAUCACGUUCUCAUCAAGAGUUGGAAGAGGGAAAGCUUGAACCAGCUUAGGAGGACCUCAUCUGGUACUCUUGAUGAAUGAAACAGCAAUCUGAAUGGCUGAAAAAGGAUGGACCCAGCACUCCAGAGUCUCACACUGUCACCAGGCUGGAGUGCCGUGGCGCAAUAUCAGCUCACUGUAACCUCCACCUCCCAGGUUGAAGUGAUUCUCCCAUCUCAGCCCCCAAGUAGCUGGGACUACAGAGUCGCACCCUGUCACCCAGCAUGGAGUGCAGUGGUGCAAUCUUGGCUCAAUGCAACCUCCACCUCCCAGGUUCAAGUGAUUCUCCUGCUUCAGCCUCCCAAGUAGCUGGGAUUACAGGUGCACAUCACCACACCCAGCUAAUUUUUGUAUUGUUAGUAGAGAUGGGGUUUCACCAUGUUGGCUGGGCUGGUCUCGAACUCUUGACCUCAAAUGAUCUGCCCACCCCCACCUCCCAAAUUGCUGGGAUUACAGGCAUAAGCCCCCACACCCAGCCUGACCACAUUUGUUUUAGAAAAGCGCCUUUCCAUGCAUUCACUUCUUCAAGUUUUUUUUUUGUUUUGUUUUUGUUUUUUUUUUUGAGAUGGGGUCUUGCUAUGUUGCCUAAGCUGGUCUAGAACCCCUGGGCUCAGGCCACCCUCCCAAGUAGCUAAAACUAUAGGCAUGCAUCACCACAUCAUUUCAUUGAAGUAUUUAUUAGGUACCAUCAUGAGCUAGGUGCAGUUCUAGGUAUUGAGUUUUAUCAGUAAAUAAACAUGAUCAUCACAGAGGAUGUGAAGGAAGCAUUUAAUAAAUUCAAGAGGAAUUCAGCCUCAUAAACUAUGAAAUAUUGGGAAAUAAUUCAUCAUGUAAAAACUGGAUAUAAAGAAAAAACUUUUCCUGCAGGACAUUGUUGCAGGAAGUCAGGGACCCCAAACGGGGGGACUGGCUGAAGCCAUGGCAGAAAAACAUGGAUUGUGAAGGUUUCAUGGACAUUUAUUAGUUCCCCAAAUUAAUACUUUUAUAAUUUCUUAUGCCUGUCUUUACUGCAAUCUCUAAACAUAAAUUGUAAAGAUUUCAUGGACACUUAUCACUUCCCCAGUCAAUACCCUUGUGAUUUCCUAUGCCUGUCUUUACUUUAAUCUCUCAAUCCUGUCAGCUGAGGAGGAUGUAUAUUACCUCAGGACCCUGUAAUAAUUGCAUUAACUGCACAAAUUAUACAGCAUGUGUGUUUGAGCAAUAUGAAAUCUGGGCACCUUGAAAAAAGAACAGGAUAACAGCAAUGUUUAGGAAACAAGAGAGAUAACCUUAAAUUCUGACCGCCGGUGAGCCAGGUGGAACAAAGCCACAUUUCUCUUCUUUCACAAGCAAAUGGGAGAAAUAUCACUGAAUUCUUUUUCUCAGCAAGGAACAUCCUUGAGAAAGAGAAUGCACACCUGGGAGUGGGUCUCUGAACUGGCCCCCCUGGGUGUAGCCAUCUCUUAUGGUCGAGACUGCAGGGGUGAAAUAGACCCCAGUCUCCCAUAGCACUCCCAGGCUUAUUAGGAAGAGGAAAUUCCCACCUAAUAAAUUUUAGUCAGACCAGUUGAUCUCAAAACCGUCUCCUGAUAAGAUGUUAUCAAUGACAAUGGUGCCCAAAACUUCAUUAGCAAUUUUAAUUUCACCUUGGUCCUGUGAUCUCGCCCUGCCUCCACUUGCCUUGUGAUAUUCUAUUACCUUGUAAAGUACUUGAUGUCUGUGACCCACACCUAUUUGCACACUCCCUCCCCUUUUGAAAAUCCCUAAUAAAAACUUGCUGGUUUUUGCGGCUUGUGGGGCAUCACGGAACCUACCGACAUGUGAUGUCUGCCCCGGACACCCAGCUUUAAAAUUUCUCUCUUUUGUACUCUGUCCCUUUAUUUCUCAAGUUGGCUGACACUUAGGGAAAAUAGAAAAGAACCUAUGUGAAUAUCGGGGCUGGUUCCCUGACAGGACAUAACCUCUUCAAAAAAUAAAAAAGAAAUAAAAGCCUACAGCCAAACCAACAAAAUAGAGUGCAUAUCUCACCAGAACUGCAAAGACAAGUAUGCUGGUAUUACUACUUUUAGUUGGUGUUGUGCAGCGGGUUAAAAUCAGUCCAGUAAAGCAAGAAAAUAUUUAGAGAGAGCUUCAUCAUCAUACGAAUUUUGGGGGUCAUUGUUCAGUCCAAAGUACUUAAUAUGAUUCUUUUCUCUUUCCACAUAGAGAAUCAGAUAAUCUAUAAAUAAUGACUCUUACUGUUCCACUUUAGGAGUUAGGUAUACAUACAUAUGUGUAUAUAUAUGUAUAUAUAUAUACACAUACACACACACACACACACACACACAGUGACCCCCCAAAUUUCAUAUGAAGUUCCAAACCUCAAUGUGACUGUAUGUGAAAAGAGAAGGGGGCGGGGAGGGGGGAGACCGACCGACCUAUUUGUUGGUCUCCAUCGUGUGAAAACAUGAGGAAGUGGGCACUUACAUGCCAGGAAGAGAGCUCUCACUAGAGGUUGACCAUGCUGGCACUCUGAUCUCAGACUUCCAGCCUCCAGAUAUGUGAGAAUAUAAAUUUGUGUUUUGGGCCAGAUACGGUGGCUCAGGCCUGUAAUCCCAGCACUUUGGGAGGCCAAGGCAGGUGGAUCACCAAAGGUCAGAUCUGACC
This is a long non-coding RNA of Homo sapiens (human), 2886 nucleotides long. Ensembl annotates it as ZNF561 antisense RNA 1 (head to head). Its record names the gene ZNF561-AS1. The record is from Ensembl. NCBI's taxonomy places the organism in Eukaryota, Metazoa, Chordata, Mammalia, Primates, Hominidae.